Non-coding RNA from Triticum aestivum (bread wheat), 135 nucleotides. NCBI's taxonomy places the organism in Eukaryota, Viridiplantae, Streptophyta, Magnoliopsida, Poales, Poaceae. The record is from Rfam.
GUAAUAUUACCUCUGUCCCAAAUUACUCGGCUUAGAUUUGUCUAGAUAUGGAUGUAUCUAACACUAAAAUGUGUCUAGAUACAUCCGUAUCUAGACAAAUUUAAGACAGGUAAUUCAGGACGGAGGGGGUAUAAG